Molecule: long non-coding RNA, 182 nt
Organism: Cydia strobilella
Lineage: Eukaryota; Metazoa; Arthropoda; Insecta; Lepidoptera; Tortricidae
Exons: 2
Source: RefSeq, a predicted model, not a curated record
AAAGGGACUACUAUUGUGUUUCAGAGUGUGUUUUAGAUGACUAUCGGUUUGUGUCUGAAAUUGAUGGCUAUCUCAGGCUGCAUCGCGUCCCGGUUAACUGGCAAGAUGCCCGUUUGAUAUGUUAUUUAGAAGGUGGUGUACUGGCCUCACCAAUAGACGUAAACAUAAUAACUGCCAUGAAA